Molecule: ribosomal RNA, 187 nt
Filed under: uncultured bacterium
Lineage: Bacteria
Description: partial 16S ribosomal RNA
Rfam family: Bacterial small subunit ribosomal RNA
Source: RNAcentral
GCCUGCAUGAAGUUGGAAUUGCUAGUAAUCGCGGAUCAGCAUGCCGCGGUGAAUACGUUCCCGGGGAUUGUACACACCGCCCGUCACACCAUGAGAGUCGGGAACACCCAAAGUCUGUAGUCUAACCGCAAGGAGGACGCGGCCUAAGGUGGGUUCGAUAAUUGGGGUGAAGUCGUAACAAGGUAAC